GACACUGUGUUUUGGAAUCUCUGCAAGAACAAAAGAUUUACCACUAAAUCUAUGUAUGAAUGGUUGGAGAGGGAUUUAGCUGGUCCUAACUAUAAGUGGAUCUGGAAAGCUAGUAUCCCAUUGAAAAUCAAAAUAUUUCCGUGGCAGCUAUUUCAAAAUGUUGUGCUUACUCGGGAUAAUUUGCGGAAGAGGAAUUGGCCUGGGAAUCCUGUUUGCUCUUUCUGCACUAACAUAGAAACUGCAAACCAUCUAUUCUUUACAUGUCCUCUUGCUCGAACAGCCUGGGGGACCCUGGGGCUCACGGCUGGAGCAUCCUGUUGCCCACGGUCUCUAUGGCAAAGUUGGGCGUGGUUAUAUAAAUUUUCCCAGGUGGAAAAAAGUUCUAUAUGA
RNAcentral lists this ribosomal RNA (390 nucleotides) under Triticum aestivum (bread wheat). RNAcentral describes it as "partial small subunit ribosomal RNA". Lineage: Eukaryota; Viridiplantae; Streptophyta; Magnoliopsida; Poales; Poaceae. The record is from RNAcentral.